CCCUUAGAUGUUCUGGGCCGCACGCGUGCUACACUGAGUGGAUCAGCGGGUCAGGUUGCGCGAAAGCGUUUCCUAAUCUUUAAAUCCGCUCGUGAUGGGGAUUGACGGUUGCAAUUUUCUGUCAUGAACGAGGAAUACCUUGUAAGCGCGGGUCAUCAUCCCGCGCUGAAUACGUCCCUGCCCUUUGUACACACCGCCCGUCGCUACUACCGAUUGAACGGUUUAGUGAGGGCCUCGGAUUGGUCUCGGCCCGCUCUUCACCGGGCGGCGCCGUUGGUCGAGAAGACGCUCGAACUUGAUCGUUUAGAGGAAGUAAAAGUCGUAACA
RNAcentral lists this ribosomal RNA (327 nucleotides) under uncultured eukaryote. RNAcentral describes it as "partial 18S ribosomal RNA". It matches the Rfam family "Eukaryotic small subunit ribosomal RNA", at positions 1470 to 1796 of the family's 1831-position model. The record is from RNAcentral.